AUACGGAGGAUGCGAGCGUUAUCCGGAUUUAUUGGGUUUAAAGGGUGCGUAGGCUGUGCGUUAAGUCAGGGGUGAAAUGCCGUCGCUCAACGACGGAGCUGCCCUUGAUACUGGCGUGCUGGAGUACGGAUGCCGUUGGAGGAAUGAGUGGUGUAGCGGUGAAAUGCUUAGAUAUCACUCAGAACACCGAUUGCGAAGGCAUCUGACGAAUCCGUCACUGACGCUGAGGCACGAAAGCGUGAGGAUAGAACAGGAUUAGAUACCCUGGUAUUCCACGCCGUAAACGAUGAUGACUAACCGUCGGCGAUAGACAGCCGGUGGCCAAGCGAAAGCGAUAAGUCAUCCACCUGGGGAGUACGUCGGCAACGAUGAAACUCAAAUGAAUUGACGGGG
Molecule: ribosomal RNA, 393 nt
Filed under: uncultured bacterium
Lineage: Bacteria
Description: partial 16S ribosomal RNA
Rfam family: Bacterial small subunit ribosomal RNA
Source: RNAcentral